AAACAGACAGGUUUGGUCCUGGCCUUUCUAUUAACUCUUAGUAAGAUUACACAUGCAAGCAUCCCCAUCCCAGUGAAAGUACCCUCUAAAUCACCUUGAUCAAAAGAAGUAAGUAUCAAGCAUGCACAAAUGCAGCUCAAAACACUUUGCCCAGCCACACCCCCACGGGAAACAGCAGUGAUAGAUCUUUAGCAAUAAACAAAAGUUUAACUAAGCUAUACUAAUAUCCAGGGUUGGUUAAUUUCAUGCCAGCCACCGCGGCCAUACAAUUAACCUGAGCUAAUAGAACUCGGCAUAAAGAGUGUUUUAGAUCUAUCCUUAACAACGCUAAGCGUCAUCUAGGUUGUAAAAAACCCUAGCUGAAAUAAAAUAAACUACGAAGGAGGCUUUAAUACUUCUGAAGACACAAUAGCUGAGACCCAAACUGGGAUUAUAUACCCCCCAAUACGCUUAGCCCUAAACUCCAAUAGUUAAAUCAACAGAACUAUUCACCAGAACACUACAAGCAAUAGCUUAAAACUCAAAGGACUUGGCGGUGCUUUAUAUCCCUCUAGAGGAGCCUGUUCUAUAAUGGAUAAAACCCAAUUUGCCUCACCACCUCUUGCUCAGCCUAUAUACCACUGUCUUCAGCAAACCCUAGCAAAGGCUGCAAAGUAAGCACAAGUAUCUACGUAAAAAUGCUGGGUCAAUGUGUAGCCCACGGUGGUAAGAAAUGGGCUACAUUUUCUACACCCAGAAAAUCUCACGACAACCCUUAUGAAAUCUAAGGGCUCAAGGAGGAUUUAGCAGUACAUUAAGAGCAGAGUGCUUAAUUGAAUGAGGCCAUAAAGCACGCACACAAUGCCCGUCACCCUCCUCAAAUAUUACUUUAGAGAUUAGUUUAACUAAAACCCCUACUUAUUUAUAUAGAGGAGACAAGUCGUAACAUGGUAAGUGUACUAGAAAGUGCACUUGGAUGAACCAAGGU
Molecule: ribosomal RNA, 967 nt
Organism: Homo sapiens (human)
Lineage: Eukaryota; Metazoa; Chordata; Mammalia; Primates; Hominidae
Rfam family: Bacterial small subunit ribosomal RNA
Source: Rfam